This 492-nucleotide ribosomal RNA is filed under the name uncultured bacterium. RNAcentral describes it as "partial 16S ribosomal RNA". It matches the Rfam family "Bacterial small subunit ribosomal RNA", at positions 29 to 507 of the family's 1533-position model. The record is from RNAcentral.
AGUGAACGCUGGCGGUAGGCCUAACACAUGCAAGUCGAACGGCAGCACAGUAAGAGCUUGCUCUUACGGGUGGCGAGUGGCGGACGGGUGAGGAAUACAUCGGAAUCUACUUUUUCGUGGGGGAUAACGUAGGGAAACUUACGCUAAUACCGCAUACGACCUACGGGUGAAAGCAGGGGAUCUUCGGACCUUGCGCGAUUGAAUGAGCCGAUGUCGGAUUAGCUAGUUGGCGGGGUAAAGGCCCACCAAGGCGACGAUCCGUAGCUGGUCUGAGAGGAUGAUCAGCCACCCGGGAACUGGGACACGGUCCAGACUCCUACGGGAGGCAGCAGUGGGGAAUAUUGGACAAUGGGCGCAAGCCUGAUCCAGCCAUACCGCGUGGGUGAAGAAGGCCUUCGGGUUGUAAAGCCCUUUUGUUGGGAAAGAAAAGCAGCAGGUUAAUACCCCGCUGUUCUGACGGUACCCAAAGAAUAAGCACCGGCUAACUUCGUG